AUUGAACGCUGGCGGCAGGCUUAACACAUGCAAGUCGAGCGGGGGAAGGUAGCUUGCUACCGGACCUAGCGGCGGACGGGUGAGUAAUGCUUAGGAAUCUGCCUAUUAGUGGGGGACAACAUCUCGAAAGGGAUGCUAAUACCGCAUACGUCCUACGGGAGAAAGCAGGGGAUCUUCGGACCUUGCGCUAAUAGAUGAGCCUAAGUCGGAUUGGCUAGUUGGUGGGGUAAAGGCCGACCAAGGCGACGAUCUGUAGCGGGUCUGAGAGGAUGAUCAGGCAAACUGGGACUGGGAGACGGCCCAGACUCCUUCGGGAGGCAGCCGUGGGGAAUAUUGGAGAAUGGGGGGAAACCUGAUCUAGCCAGGCCGGGUGGGUGAAGAAGGCCUUAUGGUUGUAAAGAACUUUAAGCGAGGAGGAGGCUACUCUAGUUAAUACCUAGGGAUAGUGGACGUUACUCGCAGAAAAAGCCCCGGCUAACUCUGUGCCAGCAGCCGCCGUAA
Molecule: ribosomal RNA, 501 nt
Filed under: uncultured bacterium
Lineage: Bacteria
Description: partial 16S ribosomal RNA
Rfam family: Bacterial small subunit ribosomal RNA
Source: RNAcentral